This 253-nucleotide ribosomal RNA is filed under the name uncultured bacterium. RNAcentral's name for it is "partial 16S ribosomal RNA". It matches the Rfam family "Bacterial small subunit ribosomal RNA", at positions 524 to 776 of the family's 1533-position model. The record is from RNAcentral.
UACGUAGGGCGCAAGCGUUGUCCGGAAUUAUUGGGCGUAAAGAGCUCGUAGGCGGCUUGUCACGUCGAUUGUGAAAGCCCGAGGCUUAACCUCGGGUCUGCAGUCGAUACGGGCAGGCUAGAGUUCGGUAGGGGAGUCUGGAAUUCCUGGUGUGGCGGUGAAAUGCGCAGAUAUCAGGAGGAACACCGGUGGCGAAGGCGGGACUCUGGGCCGAUACUGACGCUGAGGAGCGAAAGCGUGGGGAGCGAACAGG